UUGCUGUGAUGAAGCUUCUUCCUGCCAUUCGUAGUUUCCACCAGAGGUCAAAACGACCAGAGACGGUCCAAACCUUCCUUGGAUGUCUGAGCGA
Labrus bergylta (ballan wrasse) is the source of this 94-nucleotide small nucleolar RNA. Its record names the gene SNORD14. It matches the Rfam family "Small nucleolar RNA SNORD14". Rfam says of the family: U14 small nucleolar RNA (U14 snoRNA) is required for early cleavages of eukaryotic precursor rRNAs. In yeasts, this molecule possess a stem-loop region (known as the Y-domain) which is essential for function. NCBI's taxonomy places the organism in Eukaryota, Metazoa, Chordata, Actinopteri, Labriformes, Labridae. The record is from Ensembl.